This 86-nucleotide signal recognition particle RNA is filed under the name Pseudomonas aeruginosa. RNAcentral describes it as "partial signal recognition particle sRNA small type". It matches the Rfam family "Bacterial small signal recognition particle RNA", at positions 12 to 97 of the family's 97-position model. Rfam says of the family: The signal recognition particle (SRP) is a universally conserved ribonucleoprotein involved in the co-translational targeting of proteins to membranes. Archaeal SRP consists of a 7S RNA and homologues of the eukaryotic SRP19 and SRP54 proteins. Lineage: Bacteria; Pseudomonadati; Pseudomonadota; Gammaproteobacteria; Pseudomonadales; Pseudomonadaceae. The record is from RNAcentral.
CCGCAACGAUUACCCGUCAACCUGGUCAGGUCCGGAAGGAAGCAGCCACAGCGGGAACAUUGUGUGCCGGGGUGUGGCUGGCGGGG